This 1067-nucleotide long non-coding RNA is filed under the name Vulpes vulpes (red fox). RNAcentral describes it as "lncRNA (ENSVVUG00000025371.1)". The record is from RNAcentral. Lineage: Eukaryota; Metazoa; Chordata; Mammalia; Carnivora; Canidae.
GGCAGCGGAGAGGGAGGGAGUGGGGGGCGAGGGGGAGGGAGCCGGGAAGGGCAGCGGAGAGGGAGGGUGGGUGGCAGGGGCAAGGAGGGAGUAUUUCCUGAAGCUCCAUUCAAGUUCUGUGAGGGGAAUGUUUCCUGGGGUGCAUUGCCCCAGCCCUUGGGUUCCUCUCCCUGAGAGCUUCUACCUCAGCCUGAAAGAUGUCCGAUAAAGCAGAGGAGUUUGCUGUUGGGCCUGAAAAUCAAAUGAAACGUCGUGGAGAACCCAUUAGUCCUCCUCCAUCUAAGAGAAUGAUGAGCAUGGCGCUGCUGUCAAUGAAACAGGAAGGAGAGGGAGUAUCCUACCCUGGGGGCUCAGCCAUGUCAUUGGAAGAAUAUGAAAGAGUCUUCAAAUUGCUUGAAGGAGUGCAAGGACCUCUGGAAUUGCGGGAAAAAAUUUGUUGUAUUUUCCGUCAAGGGAACAGCAAGGUGGGUAUAGAGAGAAACUCUAUAGCACAUUGGGCCCAGUGCAGUGCUGGGCAUGUGGUGGGAUCAGGCCCUGCCUGGCAUUUCUCAAACCCUGGUCAUUAUCAUUCAGAGUUCAUGUUGUCUCUAGUUGUUUAGAUUGAUAUUCUCUGAGUCUCAUUCUUCCAAGUUCAAGGAGACUUCUGUUCAUACUGGAGUUUGAGGUAGGUGUUGACUGUGAACUGACAUUCUUUGUUUACGGAUUCAUCCCUUACCAUGAUGGUCCAUUUUCUAUUCCCAUGUAUAUUGUAAGCUCCCCUUUCUCUCCCCCACAGAGCUUCCCACAUUGUGGGUUCUUUGGGUGUCUUUUGGUUAAUGACUUAUUUCUUUAUUUUCAGAUUUAAAAGGCAAGACUUAAUAAGGCACCUGGAGAAGGUACUAGAAAAAUUAGAAUCUGACUACUUCCUCAACAAAGACAAAUUAUACCCCAAACUUAUAAUUCUGUUAUCAAAAUUAUCAGUGAGUAACCAGAACCAGUUUGCUGUCCUAGAAUGGAACCGGAUAUUGUUGAUGCUUUCUAGCACAUGUUAGUUAAUAAAAUUAUCUUCUUGAGAUUAAGAAAAGGCA